AGAGUUUGAUCCUGGCUCAGGACGAACGCUGGCGGUGCGCCUUAUGCAUGCAAGUUGAGCGAAGCUUUUCAGUAGUUUACUACAGAAAAUGACUGAGCGGCGAACGGGUGAGUAACGCGUUCCGAGCAAUCUACCUUAGUUACUGGGAUAGCCCGAGGAAACUCGGAUUAAUACCAGAUAUUCUUAUUUUUUCACAUGAAGUUUUAAGGAAAGGUCAGCCGAACUAAGAUGAGCUCGCGUUCUAUCAGCUAGAAAUUGGUGGGGUAAAAGCCUACCAAGGCUACGACGGAUAGCUGGUCUGAGAGGACGAUCAGCCACACUGGGACUGAGACACGGCCCAGACUCCUACGGGAGGCUGCAGCAGGGAAUAUUGUGCAAUGAGCGACUAAAGCUUGACACAGCGACACCGCGUGUGGGAUGACGGUUCUAGGAUUGUAAACCACUUUCAGGAGGGAAGAAAAUGACGGUACCUCCACAAGAAGACCCGGCCAACUAUGUGCCAGCAGCCGCGGUAAU
RNAcentral lists this ribosomal RNA (516 nucleotides) under uncultured bacterium. RNAcentral describes it as "bacterial SSU rRNA". It matches the Rfam family "Bacterial small subunit ribosomal RNA", at positions 8 to 524 of the family's 1533-position model. The record is from RNAcentral.